GAGCCGGUAAAACUCGUGCCAGCCACCGCGGUUAUACGAGAGGCUCAAGUUGACAGACAACGGCGUAAAGAGUGGUUAGGGAAACUUUUAAAACUAAAGCCGAACGUCCUCAAAGCUGUUUAACGCUUUCGAGUUAAGAAGGUCUUUAACGAAAGUAGCUUUACCAAACCUGACCCCACGAAAGCUGUGAAACAAACUGGGAUUAGAUACCCCACUAUGCUCAGCCCUAAAAUUCGAUAGGUCACUACGCCCCCUAUCCGCCCGGGUACUACGAGCAUCAGCUUAAAACCCAAAGGACUUGGCGGUGCUUCACAUCCGUCUAGAGGAGCCUGUCCUAUAACCGAUAACCCCCGUUAAACCUCACCCUCCCUUGUUAAUCCCGCCUAUAUACCGCCGUCGUCAGCCUACCCUGUGAAGGACUAGAAGUGAGCAAGAUUGGUAAGACCCAAAACGUCAGGUCGAGGUGUAGUAUAUGAGAGGGGAAGAGAUGGGCUACAUUUCCUAAAUCAGGAAAUACGAACAAUGAACUGAAAUAAGCAUUAGAAGGUGGAUUUAGCAGUAAGCAGAGAAACAGAGUGUCCUGCUGAAAUUAAUGGCAAUAAAGCACGUACACACCGCCCGU
This 622-nucleotide ribosomal RNA is filed under the name Pomacentrus maafu. RNAcentral describes it as "partial small subunit ribosomal RNA". It matches the Rfam family "Bacterial small subunit ribosomal RNA", at positions 488 to 1397 of the family's 1533-position model. The record is from RNAcentral. Lineage: Eukaryota; Metazoa; Chordata; Actinopteri; Pomacentridae.